Molecule: ribosomal RNA, 1132 nt
Filed under: insect metagenome
Description: bacterial SSU rRNA
Rfam family: Bacterial small subunit ribosomal RNA
Source: RNAcentral
AGAGUUUGAUCCUGGCUCAGGACGAACGCUGGCGGCGCGCUUAACACAUGCAAGUCGAGCGAUGAAACUUUAACAGAACCCUUCGGGGCGAAGAUAAAGUGGAUUAGCGGCGGACGGGUGAGUAACACGUGAGUAACCUGCCUUAGACAUUGGGAUAGCCUCGGGAAACCGGGAUUAAUACCAAAUAAAAUCAUAAUGACACAUGUCAUAACGAUCAAAACUCCGGUGGUCUAAGAUGGACUCGCGUCCCAUUAGCUAGUUGGUAGAGUAAAAGCCUACCAAGGCGACGAUGGGUAGCCGGCCUGAGAGGGUGAACGGCCACAUUGGAACUGAGAAACGGUCCAAACUCCUACGGGAGGCAGCAGUGGGGAAUAUUGCACAAUGGAGGGAACUCUGAUGCAGCGACGCCGCGUGAACGAAGAAGGCUUUCGAGUCGUAAAGUUCUUUUAUAUGGGAAGAUAAUGACGGUACCAUAAGAAAAAGCCCCGGCUAACUACGUGCCAGCAGCCGCGGUAAUACGUAGGGGGCUAGCGUUGUCCGGAAUCACUGGGCGUAAAGGGUUCGCAGGCGGAAAUGCAAGUCAGAUGUAAAAGGCAGUAGCUUAACUACUGUAAGCAUUUGAAACUGCAUAUCUUGAGAAGAGUAGAGGUAAGUGGAAUUUUUAGUGUAGCGGUGAAAUGCGUAGAUAUUAAAAAGAAUACCGGUGGCGAAGGCGACUUACUGGGCUCAUUCUGACNCUGAGGAACGAAAGCGUGGGUAGCAAACAGGAUUAGAUACCCUGGUAGUCCACGCUGUAAACGAUGAGUGCUAGGUGUCGGCGAAUGUCGGUGCCGCAGUUAACACAAUAAGCACUCCGCCUGGGGAGUACGUGCGCAAGCAUGAAACUCAAAGGAAUUGACGGGGACCCGCACAAGCAGCAGAGAUGUGGAGGUAAGUGGAAUUUUUAGUGUAGCGGUGAAAUGCGUAGAUAUUAAAAAGAAUACCGGUGGCGAAGGCGACUUACUGGGCUCAUUCUGACGCUGAGGAACGAAAGCGUGGGUAGCAAACAGGAUUAGAUACCCUGGUAGUCCACGCUGUAAACGAUGAGUGCUAGGUGUCGGCGAAUGUCGGUGCCGCAGUUAACACAAUAAGC